Molecule: ribosomal RNA, 253 nt
Filed under: uncultured bacterium
Lineage: Bacteria
Description: partial 16S ribosomal RNA
Rfam family: Bacterial small subunit ribosomal RNA
Source: RNAcentral
UACGUAGGGUGCAAGCGUUGUCCGGAAUUACUGGGCGUAAAGGGCUCGUAGGUGGCCAACUAAGUCAGACGUGAAAUCCCUCGGCUUAACCGGGGAACUGCGUCUGAUACUGGAUGGCUUGAGUGUGGGAGAGGGAUGCGGAAUUCCAGGUGUAGCGGUGAAAUGCGUAGAUAUCAGGAGGAACACCGGUGGCGAAGGCGGGUCUCUGGGCCGGUACCGACGCUGAGGAGCGAAAGCGUGGGGAGCGAACAGG